RNAcentral lists this unclassified non-coding RNA (266 nucleotides) under air metagenome. Its description in RNAcentral is "partial contains small subunit ribosomal RNA, internal transcribed spacer 1, and 5.8S ribosomal RNA". The stretch from base 1 to 46 matches the Rfam family "Eukaryotic small subunit ribosomal RNA", at positions 1786 to 1831 of the family's 1831-position model. The record is from RNAcentral.
AAGUCGUAACAAGGUUUCCGUAGGUGAACCUGCGGAAGGAUCAUUAAUGAAUGAAUGUAGAGUCGGUUGUAGCUGGUCUUCCAAAGACAUGUGCACGCCUUCUCUUUCAUCCACACACCCCUGUGCACUUGUUAGACGGAUGAUUGUUUCCCUUUUAUUAGGGGACGGUUUCCGUCUGCUAACACAUAAAACCAUAUUAUUAAAUUUGAAUGUAAUUGAUGUAACGCAUCUAAUACAAAGUUUCAACAACGGAUCUCUUGGCUCUC